RNAcentral lists this ribosomal RNA (503 nucleotides) under uncultured bacterium. Its description in RNAcentral is "bacterial SSU rRNA". It matches the Rfam family "Bacterial small subunit ribosomal RNA", at positions 909 to 1430 of the family's 1533-position model. The record is from RNAcentral.
UUAGACGGGGGCCCGCACAAGCGGUGAGCAUGUGGUUAAUUCGAAGCAACGCGCAGAACCUUACCCACGUUUGACAUGUCUAGUUUGAUCGGCAGAGAUGCCUUUCUUCAGUUCGGCUGGCUAGAACACAGGUGCUGCAUGGCUGUCGUCAGCUCGUGUCGUGAGGAUGUUGGGUUAAGUCCCGCAACGAGCGCAACCCUCGCUACUAGUUGCUACCAGGUUAAGCUGAGCACUCUAGUGGAACUGCCGGUGGCAAGCCGGAGGAAGGUGGGGAUGACGUCAAGUCCUCAUGGCCCUUACGCGUGGGGCUACACACGUGCUACAAUGGUGGUGACAGAGGGAUAAUCCCUAAAAGCCAUCUCAGUUCGGAUUGUCCUCUGCAACUCGAGGGCAUGAAGUUGGAAUCGCUAGUAAUCGCGGAUCAGCAUGCCGCGGUGAAUACGUUCCCGGGCCUUGUACACACCGCCCGUCACACCAUGGGAGUUGGUUCUACCCGAAGGCGC